This 253-nucleotide ribosomal RNA is filed under the name uncultured bacterium. Its description in RNAcentral is "partial 16S ribosomal RNA". It matches the Rfam family "Bacterial small subunit ribosomal RNA", at positions 524 to 776 of the family's 1533-position model. The record is from RNAcentral.
UACAGAGGGUGCAAGCGUUGUUCGGAAUUAUUGGGCGUAAAGGGCGCGUAGGCGGUGCGGUAAGUCUGUAGUGAAAUCUCUGGGCUCAACUCAGAGUCUGCUAUAGAAACUGCCGUGCUUGAGUGUGGGAGAGGUGAGUGAAAUUCCCGGUGUAGCGGUGACAUGCGUAGAUAUCGGGAGGAACACCUGUGGCGAAAGCGGCUCACUGGACCACAACUGACGCUGAGGCGCGAAAGCUAGGGGAGCAAACAGG